CGUGUAGGCGGGACGGUAAGUAUCUUGUGAAAGCCCCGGGCUUAACCCGGGAACUGCUUGGUAUACUGCCGUUCUUGAGGCAGGUAGGGGUUACUGGAACCUUAGGUGGAGCGGUGAAAUGCGUAGAUAUCUAAGGGAACGCCUGUGGCGAAAGCGGGUAACUGGACCUGAUCUGACGCUGAGACGCGAAAGCGUAGGGAGCGAACAGGAUUAGAUACCCUGGUAGUCC
Molecule: ribosomal RNA, 229 nt
Filed under: uncultured bacterium
Lineage: Bacteria
Description: partial 16S ribosomal RNA
Rfam family: Bacterial small subunit ribosomal RNA
Source: RNAcentral